RNAcentral lists this ribosomal RNA (359 nucleotides) under uncultured bacterium. RNAcentral describes it as "partial 16S ribosomal RNA". It matches the Rfam family "Bacterial small subunit ribosomal RNA", at positions 355 to 706 of the family's 1533-position model. The record is from RNAcentral.
UGGGGAAUUUUGGACAAUGGGGGAAACCCUGAUCCAGCCAUCCCGCGUGUGCGAUGAAGGCCUUCGGGUUGUAAAGCACUUUUGGCAGGAAAGAAACGUCGCGGGUUAAUACCCCGCGAAACUGACGGUACCUGCAGAGUAAGCACCGGCUAACUACGUGCCAGCAGCCGCGGUAAUACGUAGGGUGCAAGCGUUAAUCGGAAUUACUGGGCGUAAAGCGUGCGCAGGCGGUUCGGAAAGAAAGAUGUGAAAUCCCAGAGCUUAACUUUGGAACUGCAUUUUUAACUACCGGGCUAGAGUGUGUCAGAGGGAGGUGGAAUUCCGCGUGUAGCAGUGAAAUGCGUAGAUAUGCGGAGGAA